RNAcentral lists this ribosomal RNA (363 nucleotides) under uncultured soil bacterium. RNAcentral's name for it is "bacterial SSU rRNA". It matches the Rfam family "Bacterial small subunit ribosomal RNA", at positions 26 to 356 of the family's 1533-position model. The record is from RNAcentral.
AGGACGAACGCUGGCGGCGUGCUUAACACAUGCAAGUCGAACGAAGAGCGAUGGAAGCUUGCUUCUAUCAAUCUUAGUGGCGAACGGGUGAGUAACGCGUAAUCAACCUGCCCUUCAGAGGGGGGACAACAGUUGGAAACGACUGCUAAUACCGCAUACGAUCUAAUCUCGGCAUCGAGGAUAGAUGAAAGGUGGCCUCUACAUGUAAGCUAUCACUGAAGGAGGGGAUUGCGUCUGAUUAGCUAGUUGGAGGGUAACGCCCACAAGGCGAUGAUCAGUACGCCGGUCUGAGAGGAUCGGAACGGCCACUAGUUGGGACUGGAGACCGACCGGCCAGACCUACCGUACGGGAGCUAGGCAGGU